Molecule: transfer RNA, 73 nt
Filed under: Candidatus Scalindua rubra
Lineage: Bacteria; Pseudomonadati; Planctomycetota; Candidatus Brocadiia; Candidatus Brocadiales; Candidatus Scalinduaceae
Rfam family: tRNA
About the family: Transfer RNA (tRNA) molecules are approximately 80 nucleotides in length. Their secondary structure includes four short double-helical elements and three loops (D, anti-codon, and T loops).
Source: Rfam by way of RNAcentral
GGACAGAUAGCUCAGUUGGUGGAGCACGGGACUGAAAAUUUUAGUGUGGUCAGUUCGAUUCAGAUCCUGUCCA